GAAGCUAAGCAGGUGUGAGCCUGGUCAGUACCUGGAUGGGAGACCUCCUGGGAAAAACUAAGGUUGCUGCUGGAA
RNAcentral lists this ribosomal RNA (75 nucleotides) under Lepisosteus oculatus (spotted gar). Lineage: Eukaryota; Metazoa; Chordata; Actinopteri; Semionotiformes; Lepisosteidae. The record is from RNAcentral.